RNAcentral lists this unclassified non-coding RNA (305 nucleotides) under plant metagenome. Its description in RNAcentral is "partial contains 5.8S ribosomal RNA, internal transcribed spacer 2, and large subunit ribosomal RNA". The stretch from base 1 to 105 matches the Rfam family "5.8S ribosomal RNA", at positions 50 to 154 of the family's 154-position model. The record is from RNAcentral.
GAAAUGCGAUAAGUAGUGUGAAUUGCAGAAUUCAGUGAAUCAUCGAAUCUUUGAACGCACAUUGCGCCCUUUGGUAUUCCUUAGGGCAUGCCUGUUCGAGCGUCAUCUAAACCUUCAAGCCCUGCUUGGUGUUGGGUGCCUGUCCCGCCUCCGCGCGCGGACUCACCUCAAAUCCAUUGGCGGCCCCCGCGUCGGCCACGAGCGCAGCAGAAACGCGAACUCGUGAGCCCGUCCGGGCGGCUCCCAGAAGCUACACCCACCCAGUUUGACCUAGGAUCAGGUAGGGAUACCCGCUGAACUUAAGC